GCUGGAAUAUUUAUGUAAAUAAAAUGUUUACCUGCAGUUAAUUAAGAAUCCACUAUAGUAUUGAGGAAGUUUUAUUGUAUGUCUGCAUUUGAAACAAAGAAAAGGUGCAUAUUCAAUAAAUAUAUAGCGUUAAUUGUUGGAUGUAGUUUUUAUCCCUAAGACUUUAGUUGAUGUAUAGGUGUAACUUUACCUUCAAAAAGUUUCUAGAAACUGAAUCAAUUCAUUGGGAUUUUAGAUUUAAGUUGCAUUAAAUUAUGGAGAAAUACCUUUCUCUUACUCUUACUUCAGAUUGAAUACAUAAAAUUCAAAACCCCAAGUGCUUGCUAAUGACUGAAUAAGAAAAGCCAACAAAUUCAUGAAUAACAACAUCAUCGUCACCUAAUUUUCUUCCAUUUUGAUCUUCAACAUCUUCACCAUCAUAUCUUUGGCCCUUUUACAGGGUAAUUUUUCCCUCCUUUCAUUUCUUCGUUUAUCCAAAACAGAUUGAUAUACGCCCAAAAGAUUUUUCCUUAC
RNAcentral lists this long non-coding RNA (513 nucleotides) under Vigna radiata. RNAcentral describes it as "long non-coding RNA (VRAD_LNC000919)". Lineage: Eukaryota; Viridiplantae; Streptophyta; Magnoliopsida; Fabales; Fabaceae. The record is from RNAcentral.